UACAUAAGUGGCGGACGGGUGAGUAAUAUGUAGAGAAUCUGCCUUCAAGCGGGGGACAACGAGAGGGAAACUUCUGCUAAUACCCCAUAUGAGCGUACCUGUGAUGGUAUUCUUGAAAGCUCCGGCGCUUGGAGAUGAGUCUGCAUCUGAUUAGCUAGUUGGGGUGUAAUGGACCACCAAGGCGACGAUCAGUAGCUGGUUUGAGAGGAUGAUCAGCCACAAUGGGACUGAGACACGGCCCAUACUCCUACGGGAGGCAGCAGUAGGGAAUUUUGCGCAAUGGGCGAAAGCCUGACGCAGCAACGCCGCGUGAUCGCAGACGGCCUUCGGGUUGUAAAGAUCUGUCAGUAGGGACGAACAAUGACUGUACCUACAGAGGAAGCACCGGCUAACUCCGUGCCAGCCGCCGC
RNAcentral lists this ribosomal RNA (410 nucleotides) under uncultured bacterium. Its description in RNAcentral is "bacterial SSU rRNA". It matches the Rfam family "Bacterial small subunit ribosomal RNA", at positions 88 to 518 of the family's 1533-position model. The record is from RNAcentral.